UGAAACCUUAACGACUCCAUGAUCGUGC
This 28-nucleotide small RNA is filed under the name Bombyx mori (domestic silkworm). RNAcentral's name for it is "ovarian small RNA-30425". The record is from RNAcentral. Lineage: Eukaryota; Metazoa; Arthropoda; Insecta; Lepidoptera; Bombycidae.